This 69-nucleotide transfer RNA is filed under the name Eudarcia gwangneungensis. RNAcentral's name for it is "tRNA-Gln". Lineage: Eukaryota; Metazoa; Arthropoda; Insecta; Lepidoptera; Meessiidae. The record is from RNAcentral.
UAUAUUUUAGUGUAAGAUGCACGAUAAUUUUUGAAAUUAUAGGUUUUAGAUUAAUUUUAAAAAAUAUAA